Molecule: ribosomal RNA, 458 nt
Filed under: uncultured bacterium
Lineage: Bacteria
Description: partial 16S ribosomal RNA
Rfam family: Bacterial small subunit ribosomal RNA
Source: RNAcentral
CCUACGGGAGGCAGCAGUGAGGAAUAUUGGGCAAUGGGCGAGAGCCUGAACCAGCAAAGUCGCGUGAGGGAGGACUGCCCUAUGGGUUGUAAACCUCUUUUGUCGGGGAGCAAAAGCCGGACGUGUCCGGCUGUGAGAGUAGCCGAAGAAAAAGCAACGGCAAACUCCGUCCCAGCAGCCGCGGUAAUACGGAGGAUGCGAGCGUUAUCCGGGUUUUUUGGGUUAAAAGGGUGCGUAGGCGGGAUUUUAAGUUAGUGGUAAAACGUCGGGGCUUCACGCUGAUUGGCCAUUGAAACUGGAGUACUAGAGUACAGACGAGGUAGGCGGAAUAAGUUGAGUAGCGGUGAAAUGCUUAGAUAUAACUUAGAACCCCGAUGGCGAAGGCAGCUUACCAGACUGUUACUGACGCUGAAGCACGAGAGCGUGGGUAGCGAACAGGAUUAGAUACCCCGGUAGUC